This 1349-nucleotide ribosomal RNA is filed under the name uncultured bacterium. RNAcentral describes it as "bacterial SSU rRNA". It matches the Rfam family "Bacterial small subunit ribosomal RNA", at positions 28 to 1381 of the family's 1533-position model. The record is from RNAcentral.
GACGAACGCUGGCGGCGUGCUUAACACAUGCAAGUCGAACGAUGAAGCCUAGCUUGCUAGGUGGAUUAGUGGCGAACGGGUGAGUAAUACGUGAGUAACCUACCUUUAACUCUGGGAUAAGCCCGGGAAACUGGGUCUAAUACCGGAUACGACCAAUCUCCGCAUGGGGUGUUGGUGGAAAGCGUUAUGUAGUGGUUAUAGAUGGGCUCACGGCCUAUCAGCUUGUUGGUGAGGUAACGGCUCACCAAGGCGACGACGGGUAGCCGGCCUGAGAGGGUGACCGGCCACACUGGGACUGAGACACGGCCCAGACUCCUACGGGAGGCAGCAGUGGGGAAUAUUGCACAAUGGGCGCAAGCCUGAUGCAGCGACGCCGCGUGAGGGAUGACGGCCUUCGGGUUGUAAACCUCUGUUAGCAGGGAAGAAGAGAGAUUGACGGUACCUGCAGAGAAAGCGCCGGCUAACUACGUGCCAGCAGCCGCGGUAAUACGUAGGGCGCGAGCGUUGUCCGGAAUUAUUGGGCGUAAAAGAGCUUGUAGGCGGUUUGUCGCGUCUGCUGUGAAAGGCCGGGGCUUAACUCCGUGUAUUGCAGUGGGUACGGGCAGACUAGAGUGCAGUAGGGGAGACUGGAAUUCCUGGUGUAGCGGUGGAAUGCGCAGAUAUCAGGAGGAACACCGAUGGCGAAGGCAGGUCUCUGGGCUGUAACUGACGCUGAGAAGCGAAAGCAUGGGGAGCGAACAGGAUUAGAUACCCUGGUAGUCCAUGCCGUAAACGUUGGGCACUAGGUGUGGGGGACAUUCCACGUUUUCCGCGCCGUAGCUAACACAUUAAGUGCCCCGCCUGGGGAGUACGGCCGCAAGGCUAAAACUCAAGGAAAUUGACGGGGGCCCGCACAAGCGGCGGAGCAUGCGGAUUAAUUCGAUGCAACGCGAAGAACCUUACCAAGGCUUGACAUAUACUGGACCGCAUCAGAGAUGGUGUUUCCCUUCGGGGCUGGUAUACAGGUGGUGCAUGGUUGUCGUCGGCUCGUGUCGUGAGAUGUUGGGUUAAGUCCCGCAACGAGCGCAACCCUCGUUCUAUGUUGCCAGCACGUUAUGGUGGGGACUCAUAGGAGACUGCCGGGGUCAACUCGGAGGAAGGUGGGGAUGACGUCAAAUCAUCAUGCCCCUUAUGUCUUGGGCUUCACGCAUGCUACAAUGGCCGGUACAGAGGGUUGCGAUACUGUGAGGUGGAGCUAAUCCCUAAAAGCCGGUCUCAGUUCGGAUUGGGGUCUGCAACUCGACCCCAUGAAGUCGGAGUCGCUAGUAAUCGCAGAUCAGCAACGCUGCGGUGAAUACGUUCCCGGGCCU